Molecule: ribosomal RNA, 1397 nt
Filed under: metagenome
Description: bacterial LSU rRNA
Rfam family: Bacterial large subunit ribosomal RNA
Source: RNAcentral
AAAAAGAGUUAAACACAGGGACACAUUUGAAGUCUCGGAGCCGGGUGUUGGUUCCGGUAGCGAUCGAGGGAAAUUAGUACCGAAGUCCGGGAUGGAAGAUGGCGAGAAAAGCUGUGUGUAUUUCUGCGGUGCCCGUACCGCAAACCGACACAGGUAGGUAGGAAGAAGAUUCUAAGGCCAACGGGAGAAGGGUUGUUAAGGAACUCGGCAAAUUGACCCCGUAACUUCGGGAGAAGGGGUGCUCCAGAGAUGGAGCCGCAGAGAAUCGGCCCAAGCAACUGUUUACCAAAAACACAGGUUUGUGCUAAAUCGAAAGAUGACGUAUACGAGCUGACGCCUGCCCGGUGCUGGAAGGUUAAGAGGAGAUGUGCAAGCAUUGAAUCGAAGCCCCAGUGAACGGCGGCCGUAACAAUAACGGUCCUAAGGUAGCGAAAUUCCUUGUCAGGUAAGUUCUGACCCGCAUGAAAGGCGUAAUGAUUUGGGCACUGUCUCGACAGCCCGCCCGGCGAAAUUGUAGUACCGGUGAAGAUGCCGGUUACCCGCGACAAGACGGAAAGACCCCAUGGAGCUUUACUGUAGCCUAAUAUUGGGUUUCGAUGUUGCAUGCACAGGAUAGAUGGGACACAGGGAAACAAGUGCUUUGGCAUUUGUGGAGUGGCCGUUGGGAUACCAUCCUUGCGAUAUUGGAAUUCUAACCUGCGCCUUUGAAUCAAGGCGGGGGACAUUGUUAGGUGGGCAGUUUAACUGGGGCGGUCGCCUCCUAAAGAGUAACGGAGGCGUUCAAAGGUUCGCUCAGCUUGAACGGAAAUCAAGCAAAAGAGUGCAAACGCAGAAGCGGGCCUAACUGCGAGACUGACGAGUCGAGCAGUAACGAAAGUUGGAGUUAGUGAUCCGGUGGUAUGUGAGUGGAAAUGCCAUCGCUCAACGGAUAAAAGUUACCCUGGGGAUAACAGGCUGAUCUCCCCCAAGAGUCCACAUCGACGGGGAGGUUUGGCACCUCGAUGUCGGCUCAUCGCAUCCUGGGGCUGUAUUCGGUCCCAAGGGUUUGGCUGUUCGCCAAUUAAAGCGGUACGCGAGCUGGGUUCAGAACGUCGUGAGACAGUUCGGUCCCUAUCUGUCGUGGGCGCAGGAUAUUUGAUGGGAGCUGUUCCUAGUACGAGAGGACCGGAGCGGACGUACCUCUGGCGCACCAGUUGUUCUGCCAAGGGCAUAGCUGGGCAACUAUGUACGGAUCGGAUAAACGCUGAAAGCAUCUAAGCGUGAAGCCGACCCAAAGAUAAGAUAUCCCAUUGUUUUAAACAAGUAAGACCCCUUGAAGACUACAAGGUUGAUAGGCACGAUGUGUAAGUGGAGUGAUCCAUUCAGCAAGCGUGUACUAAUAGGUCGAGGGCUUGACC